AUUUCCCCUAUACUCCUGUCCCUGCAGGAGUCGCUUACCUAUUUUAUUUUGCCUUCUCCCUCAUGCUAUCCUUAAGUUGCGUUCUUGUCACGUGUCCCUUCCACUUGUUACCUCAAGCAGCCCAUAUUGCCACCACCAACCACCAACCUCCUACAGCUGUUGUUUGGUUAUCGGGUCUGCCUUGCGAGUCAUAGUGCAUGCUAGUGCUGUUUUAUCUUGUUACCGUUAUUGUUAUCUUAUCUGUUUAUCUGUUGGGGAAUCAUAACACAUGGUUUAUGGAUAUAUUGUUGGAGAUAAUCAUGCUUUACUUAUUGUUAACAACUAAAAUGAUAAGCAGAGGCAUCUGUGAGCCCCUUUGCAAAAGCAUCGGAACUUUGACUCACUAAUGUCCCCUAGGACCCGAGUUCUUGUUAUCUGUUCCGAGACUGAGCGCUCUAACCACACGUGGGUAUGUUUCUGGGUCUCCCCUCGACCACUGCCGGAAUCUACAGCUUUGUCCAGUGGCCACAACUAGUUUGCAUGUUUUACCAUUUGUUGUUGCGUGCAUGCCAGCCUGUUACUUAUUUACUUUGGGAAGCCCCUGGGUGCCUUGUAUCCCUUGUUUCUGGUAUGCACGUAUAGGUGCGGCACGAGCGUUUAUCGCGUGCUGAAGCGGGUCAUUCGCCCCAGUGUGUGUUUUGACCCUCGGAAGUCGUGGUCGCAAAUAGCUAAGUCCGCUUCGGAGAUACGGCCGGACUUCGAUACGGGUUCAACUUGGUUAGGUGGCUUCCUGGACAUUGUUGUCGUGAAGGAGAGUGCGAGCCGUGAUAACCACCUGUCGUAAGUGGAUUGAGCGGUGCGUGUGGGUACAUUUGGGCAACCCCUGCAGGGUGUACAUCUUAUCGAUAAGCCGUGUCCGCGGUUAUGGACGACUUGAAGCUGUAUGACUCGACCAUAGACAACUUACACCUGUUGUUCAUUAAUAAUAACUUGCGUAGUAAGUUAGUACAACUUCAAUAAUAAAUGGUUAAAACUUGAUAACCGUGUGAGUGCCCUUGUAAGUACUUCCUUGCGAGGGGGGAACACAUCGGCUGUGUUAUGGUUGCAGAGUAUAGAACUGUUAGUUAUGCGCUCUCUCACCUUCUCUGAUUAGACGAAUGUUGUAGAGUGUCUCUAUAGGUUUUUAGUGCUUGCGCGCUGCCGCUUAACCCCACCAUAUUGCCUAUGACGUUCCUCUUGCGUCCUCUAAGUCCCCUGCGUGCCUCAAGUACAAAGGACGACUGGUUGACGAACGCUUAUACGUCUUGAAGUCUUGUUAAGUACGAACCCGUACUUAUUGCUGCUUCUACGGGAUAUAACCGGGCAGGUAUGAAGAUAUGUUCGAAGAAGACGACGCUAGCAAGGUUACCCUUCCGGCUUGGCCUGGGCAGGGUUAUGGACGCCAUCGUUUAUCUUCAGGACUCUUAGUCCAAAUUUGUAUCUUGUCCGUACUCGGAUGUAUUUGGUCUUCUGUAUGAUUUGGAUCUUUGUAUGUAUCUAUUUGUAUCUUGACUCGUUGGAGUCGUUGUUGUAAUAUAUCUGUAUCCCGUGGGCUCUAUUGUAAUCCUGUUGUAAUGUUACCUCUCUUGAUUGAUUCCACCCGCAUCGCGUGCAUGCUUCGGCGUGUACGAGGCGCUUGGUGGUGCGUCUCCUAAAAUCGAUAUCGUGCGGAUUUCGGCGGAUUCGCUGGGAUCCUCAUGGUACCGGUUUUGGGGCGUCACAAGUUGGUAUCAGAGCAUCAGGUUGACGGUACCCCACUAGUCCAGCCUGUAGGAUAACCUUGCUAACGGUCGUUGAGUAUAGUGUGUCAAAACCUAUUUUCAAAAAUUCGUUGGAUAGUUCUGACUAGCUCUGAUUUUCUCCUUACCUCUAUUCUUUCUCAUCUUACCUUUGCGAGUUUUGAAUCUUCUCUUAUCUGCUUCUCUGAGUCAUAGGUCUCUACGCGGGUUGGACGAUCUUUGCCCUCACCUAUUAGGUCCGAUCUUCGGAGGUUACGAUAGAAGCACAUCAUCAUCAACGGAGCAACAACUCUUGUUAGUGGUGUCGAGAAGAUCAACACCUUGACAGAAGAAGGUCCCACGCCAAGGUCGGGUGUUUGUCAACAUGGUACAAGAAGAUCCGAUAGUUUAACCAACUCCCCCUUAGGUUGACGUGGAACCUCGGGGCGAGGUUCCUUGUUAGUGGUGUCGAUUGUAGCGACCUGGAAAAUCCCUAAUAAUAGUUUUUCUUCGUUGCUUGUUUUUCCGCGUCGUUCCGGCGUCAUCAUCAUACAUGCAUCAUAUCAUCUACAUGUUUGGCCAAACUAAAAUUAUUUGAAUAAACAUUAUUUUUCCCCCUCUCGUAUGGUUCUAAAUAAAAACUCUCUCUUGUAUUCUUAUUUCAUUUAGAAAACUAGAAUCAAAGUAUUUGCAAACUUUAAAUUGUUUUUAAUCAAAAUCCAGUUUUAAAUUUCUUUUCCAAACUUUUCCUCCUUCUCUUUUUUCUUUCUUUGAUUUCUAUCUUUCUCCCGUUUAUUCUUCUCUGAUUUUGCAAAAUCCCAGCAAAUAGAGAAAUAUGCCAGAUAGCUUCCUUCCUAUCCUUUCACUGGCCGGUUCAACCUUCUCCUCUGGCUGGGGACCUUCUCAACACGCAGGAGGCGUGACCUCUACCACCGCACCCACCUGCUCUCUCCUCAAGCAAAUUCUCACCUGCUCCCCUCCUCUUUUCCCUACCUUUUUCCUUCCAGAUCGAGGCUCUCCAAGAACCCUAGCCCCCCUUUCCUCCUCUUGUUCCGCCGCCACUAAAGCUCCCUCUGUCCUUCCCCUCUUCCACGCAAAGCAGAGACACAGAGCAAACUUCAGAUAAAAUUCAGUUAAACAUCACCGGGAAAUCCUCAAGCUCGUCGUUGCCUGGAGCCACCGUUCGCCGCACCGAGCUCGUGGAUGGAACCACCGUGGUGUUCUCGUUCUCUGCGCUGAAGGUCAGGAGCGGAGGCUGCUCCUGGACGACGCCACGGACCUCGCCGUCACCGUCCUCUUCUACACCGAUGGUCACCGCUCGCCUCUACUUCCUCUUCCGCGACUCCGCCGUCGCCGUGUUGUUCCGUCUUGGACCAACACCAGGCAUUUACUUCUUCCCGGAUAGGAUCGCGAAGUGGUGAUGUGAGAUACGACGAGUUCUCCGGAUGUUCCUCGGCAAGCUCUAACAGGCAAGCAUUUCCCCUAUACUCCUGUCCCUGCAGGAGUCGCUUACCUAUUUUAUUUUGCCUUCUCCCUCAUGCUAUCCUUAAGUUGCGUUCUUGUCACGUGUCCCUUCCACUUGUUACCUCAAGCAGCCCAUAUUGCCACCACCAACCACCAACCUCCUACAGCUGUUGUUUGGUUAUCGGGUCUGCCUUGCGAGUCAUAGUGCAUGCUAGUGCUGUUUUAUCUUGUUACCGUUAUUGUUAUCUUAUCUGUUUAUCUGUUGGGGAAUCAUAACACAUGGUUUAUGGAUAUAUUGUUGGAGAUAAUCAUGCUUUACUUAUUGUUAACAACUAAAAUGAUAAGCAGAGGCAUCUGUGAGCCCCUUUGCGAAAGCAUCGGAACUUUGACUCACUAAUGUCCCCUAGGACCCGAGUUCUUGUUAUCUGUUCCGAGACUGAGCGCUCUAACCACACGUGGGUAUGUUUCUGGGUCUCCCCUCGACCACUGCCGGAAUCUACAGCUUUGUCCAGUGGCCACAACUAGUUUGCAUGUUUUACCAUUUGUUGUUGCGUGCAUGCCAGCCUGUUACUUAUUUACUUUGGGAAGCCCCUGGGUGCCUUGUAUCCCUUGUUUCUGGUAUGCACGUAUAGGUGCGGCACGAGCGUUUAUCGCGUGCUGAAGCGGGUCAUUCGCCCCAGUGUGUGUUUUGACCCUCGGAAGUCGUGGUCGCAAAUAGCCAAGUCCGCUUCGAAGAUACGGCCGGACUUCGAUACGGGUUCAACUUGGUUAGGUGGCUUCCUGGACAUUGUUGUCGUGAAGGAGAGUGCGAGCCGUGAUAACCACCUGUCGUAAGUGGAUUGAGCGGUGCGUGUGGGUACAUUUGGGCAACCCCUGCAGGGUGUACAUCUUAUCGAUAAGCCGUGUCCGCGGUUAUGGACGACUUGAAGCUGUAUGACUCGACCAUAGACAACUUACACCUGUUGUUCAUUAAUAAUAACUUGCGUAGUAAGUUAGUACAACUUCAAUAAUAAAUGGUUAAAACUUGAUAACCGUGUGAGUGCCCUUGUAAGUACUUCCUUGCGAGGGGGGAACACAUCGGCUGUGUUAUGGUUGCAGAGUAUAGAACUGUUAGUUAUGCGCUCUCUCACCUUCUCUGAUUAGACGAAUGUUGUAGAGUGUCUCUAUAGGUUUUUAGUGCUUGCGCGCUGCCGCUUAACCCCACCAUAUUGCCUAUGACGUUCCUCUUGCGUCCUCUAAGUCCCCUGCGUGCCUCAAGUACAAAGGACGACUGGUUGACGAACGCUUAUACGUCUUGAAGUCUUGUUAAGUACGAACCCGUACUUAUUGCUGCUUCUACGGGAUAUAACCGGGCAGGUAUGAAGAUAUGUUCGAAGAAGACGACGCUAGCAAGGUUACCCUUCCGGCUUGGCCUGGGCAGGGUUAUGGACGCCAUCGUUUAUCUUCAGGACUCUUAGUCCAAAUUUGUAUCUUGUCCGUACUCGGAUGUAUUUGGUCUUCUGUAUGAUUUGGAUCUUUGUAUGUAUCUAUUUGUAUCUUGACUCGUUGGAGUCGUUGUUGUAAUA
Non-coding RNA from Lolium perenne, 4765 nucleotides. The record is from RefSeq and is a predicted model, not a curated record. Lineage: Eukaryota; Viridiplantae; Streptophyta; Magnoliopsida; Poales; Poaceae.